Molecule: transfer RNA, 70 nt
Filed under: Cyclopelta parva
Lineage: Eukaryota; Metazoa; Arthropoda; Insecta; Hemiptera; Dinidoridae
Also listed under: 1 other name
Description: tRNA-Leu
Source: RNAcentral
UCUAAUAUGGCAGAAAAUAUUAUGCAAUGAAUUUAAGAUUCAUAUAUAAAGAAUUAAUCUUUUAUUAGAA